Molecule: ribosomal RNA, 253 nt
Filed under: uncultured bacterium
Lineage: Bacteria
Also listed under: 1 other name
Description: partial 16S ribosomal RNA
Rfam family: Bacterial small subunit ribosomal RNA
Source: RNAcentral
UACGUAGGGGGCAAGCGUUGUUCGGAUUUACUGGGCGUAAAGGGCGCGUAGGCGGCGUGACAAGUCACUUGUGAAAUCUCCGAGCUUAACUCGGAACGGUCAAGUGAUACUGUCGUGCUAGAGUGCAGAAAGGGCAACUGGAAUUCUUGGUGUAGCGGUGAAAUGCGUAGAUAUCAAGAGGAACACCAGAGGCGAAGGCGAGUUGCUAGGCUGACACUGACGCUGAGGCGCGAAAGCUAGGGGAGCGAACGGG